This 332-nucleotide unclassified non-coding RNA is filed under the name soil metagenome. RNAcentral describes it as "partial contains 5.8S ribosomal RNA, internal transcribed spacer 2, and large subunit ribosomal RNA". The stretch from base 1 to 120 matches the Rfam family "5.8S ribosomal RNA", at positions 35 to 154 of the family's 154-position model. The record is from RNAcentral.
GAUGAAGAACGUAGCAAAAUGCGAUAAGUAAUGUGAAUUGCAGAAUUCAGUGAAUCAUCGAAUCUUUGAACGCACAUUGCGCCCGCCAGUAUUCUGGCGGGCAUGCCUGUUCGAGCGUCAUUUCAACCCUCAAGCACAGCUUGGUGUUGGGACUCGCGUUAAUUCGCGUUCCCCAAAUUGAUUGGCGGUCACGUCGAGCUUCCAUAGCGUAGUAGUAAAACCCUCGUUACUGGUAAUCGUCGCGGCCACGCCGUUAAACCCCAACUUCUUAAUGUUGACCUCGGAUCAGGUAGGAAUACCCGCUGAACUUAAGCAUAUCAAUAAGCGGAGGA